AAUCAAGAAAGACGUGAAGAGUAUAUCAAACGGGGAAAAGAAAAGAUAGUGGAGUAAAGUGCAAAAUUACGAUAUUUUGCACCGAGUGACUUCCAACAACUCGGAAAUUGGAACGAAGUCAGACAAUCAUCUACACUAUCCUUCACAUUUGGGGUAUUUUACUACUAGUGUUCCGAAAUUUUAUGGCAUGUAUAGACAAUUUAUGUAAUGUGGGAUCAUCAUGUAAAUAUAUGUUAUGGUUCCCUUUUAAAUGUAGUGUUUAUUAAUAGUUAAACUAUAUGUGUGUUUAUACAAAUGAAA
Long non-coding RNA from Gossypium raimondii (Peruvian cotton), 300 nucleotides. RefSeq lists it as uncharacterized. The transcript has 2 exons. The record is from RefSeq and is a predicted model, not a curated record. NCBI's taxonomy places the organism in Eukaryota, Viridiplantae, Streptophyta, Magnoliopsida, Malvales, Malvaceae.